Long non-coding RNA from Pongo pygmaeus (Bornean orangutan), 584 nucleotides. RefSeq lists it as uncharacterized. The record is from RefSeq and is a predicted model, not a curated record. The transcript is spliced from 4 exons. Lineage: Eukaryota; Metazoa; Chordata; Mammalia; Primates; Hominidae.
GAAGACAGCUCGACCAUGGUGGAGGAGACAGGCAUUUAGAAUGAGCAAGAAAUAAAGGUGGCCGUUAAGGGGUCAGCUCCCCUCAACAAAGUCACUUUUGAUUUACUUACAAAAGUUUUCUUAAGAUUUCUUCAGAACCCAGGUCAGAAGGCUGGGGCAGGAGGCCAGGCAGAUCACAGCGUCCAUGCCUAGAUGCUCCCUGACCCCCAGGAGCCAGAAGUGCUGUCUCCUGAAGGCUCUGGAAACCCGGGAUCAGCCUACGAGGCACCAGGGCCGCCAUGGAGGGUGGAAAUGAGGACCUCAGGCCCCAGAGGGCAUGCAGGCGAGGUGAAGUUCAGGAGAGGGGAAAGAACAUGGGCUGUGUGGCCUUGGGUCAAUUGCUUGCCCUCUCUGGGCCUUCUUAUUGGUGACAGACUGGUGACUUUCUGAGAGGAUCUAUGCAACCUUAGGCUCCUGCACCUGGGUUACAGGGUCUUCUGGAGGGGAAGAGAUGAGCAGCAGGGACAAUAGCAGUGCUCCUCUCCCGGGUCAGUUGCAAGGAUUAAGGGUGAUGUCUGCAAAGUGCUUAGUCAGAGCCAGCAUAC